Molecule: long non-coding RNA, 214 nt
Filed under: Elaeis guineensis (African oil palm)
Lineage: Eukaryota; Viridiplantae; Streptophyta; Magnoliopsida; Arecales; Arecaceae
Description: long non-coding RNA (EGUI_LNC044748)
Source: RNAcentral
GGUUGGCUUAUAAAAGGCUAGUUUCAAAAUCUUUCUAAUUAUGGAUAAGUGGAUAAUAGAGAUGGAGAAGUAUGGAUAGCUAUAGAAGGAUAUUUCAUUUAUCUAGCAACAAUAAUGGGGAGCUAAAGAAAAGGCUUUACAAGAUAUUUCAACUUCCAAUCAUUUUAUUCUCUUGACAUUGCUAUUUUGCAUAUGGUGCCACACAUAAGCAUGC